CAGGACUCGCAAGACUCCUACAACCCUGUGAACUUAACUAUAAGCACGUUGCUUCGGCGGGUGUCUCGGCGAGGGUCCUCUCUCCCCGGGGCGCUAAGCCCGCCGGCAGCCUACUAUACUCUGUCUCUUUGCGUUGGCAUCUCGAGUACAAUCAAACAAGUUA
RNAcentral lists this unclassified non-coding RNA (163 nucleotides) under soil metagenome. RNAcentral describes it as "partial internal transcribed spacer 1". The record is from RNAcentral.